GUAUUCCAUACGGAAUACAUAUACUAAAAUUGGAACGAUACAGAGAAGAUUAGCAUGGCCCCUGCGCAAGGAUGACACGCAAAAUCGUGAAGCGUUCCACAUUUUU
Non-coding RNA from Daphnia pulex (common water flea), 106 nucleotides. Lineage: Eukaryota; Metazoa; Arthropoda; Branchiopoda; Diplostraca; Daphniidae. The record is from Rfam.